GGGUAACUUUAAGUAAAAAAUUGAAACAUUGUGAAACAACUUUUACGUAUUAUAGAUGCAUAUGUGUAUAUUUUGUUGAUGCUGCUUUGAUAUAUUGUGCUUGUAGAUAUUUAUAUUAUUUAUGCUACUCAUUUUUAAACACUUUAUUAUAUUAUGUCGACUAUAACUAUUGGUAGCGUAAACUGCAGGGGUUUAUCAGAAACAGUCAAAAGAAUUGAUAUAUUUACAAAAUAUAAGGACUUAUAUGAUAUAACUAUAUUAGUAGACACCCAUAGCACAUCUGAAAAAGAAAAACAAUGGCUUCAUGAAUGGGGAUAUGUGGGGAAAUUUAGUUCUUAUUCUAGUAAAAGUAGAGGGGUAGCUAUUUUUUUUCAAAAAUACUUUCGAAUUCAAGAUCCAUGAGGAAACUAUAGACCUGAUGGGUAAUUUUAUUAUACUAGAUAUCACCAUUCAGGACUACCGUAUAACUUUGGCAGCUAUAUAUGGACCGAAUAAUGAUGACCCAGUCUUUUUUGAGAACAUAAAACACAAAAUAUCCCACUAUGGCAAUUCGUCAAUUG
This 560-nucleotide long non-coding RNA is filed under the name Mytilus galloprovincialis (Mediterranean mussel). Lineage: Eukaryota; Metazoa; Mollusca; Bivalvia; Mytilida; Mytilidae. The record is from RNAcentral.